CCCUUAGAUGUUCUGGGCCGCACGCGCGCUACACUGAUGCAUUCAACGAGUCCAACCUUGACCGAGAGGUCCGGGUAAUCUUUGAAACUGCAUCGUGAUGGGGCUAGAUUAUUGCAAUUAUUAAUCUUCAACGAGGAAUGCCUAGUAAGCGUGAUUCAUCAAAUCGCGUUGAUUACGUCCCUGCCCUUUGUACACACCGCCCGUCGCUCCUACCGAUUGAGUGUGUUGGUGAGGAGUUUGGGUUGGCCUCGGAAGGUGGUUCGCCACCGUCCGUAGCUGAGAAGUUCUCCAAACCGCCCCACUUAGAGGAAGGAGAAGUCGUAACA
Molecule: ribosomal RNA, 326 nt
Filed under: uncultured eukaryote
Lineage: Eukaryota
Description: partial 18S ribosomal RNA
Rfam family: Eukaryotic small subunit ribosomal RNA
Source: RNAcentral